Ictalurus punctatus (channel catfish) is the source of this 1145-nucleotide long non-coding RNA. The record is from Ensembl. NCBI's taxonomy places the organism in Eukaryota, Metazoa, Chordata, Actinopteri, Siluriformes, Ictaluridae.
GUUAAACAUAGAGGAUACAUGCUGACAAAGCGCAUAGAGGAGCAAGAGACACUAACAGAACAAUUAGAAGAGGAGAAAAAGAAAGUUAUCUAGCAAAGGUUAGCUAACAGGUGGCUAAUUCACUGCUAUUGGCUCUGUGUCUUGUCAUGUGGAGCCUGAGCACUGUGGCCUGAGUGAACACAGCUGCACCGUGAUGCAUCCAGUUUCAAGUGCAGAUCAAAAGAAGGAAACAUCAGACAUCAAACAAAUGUUGGCAGGGAUGAGUGGAAAUGCUGUGCAUUUGAUUUUUGAACUAUCACUUUGAACAUGGCAGUGGCAUUCACGGUCCCUCACAGUCCCAAAAAGCUCCAUGACAACUGCAUCGCUACCUGUGCAGCCGAAAAAUCAGACAAAGCAAACAACGAUUCAUAAACAUCUGAAGAUGAAAGUGCACAGCAGCGGAACAGCAGCGACUCUCUUUUUGCUCUCUCUUGAUUGAGGCCCUUCUGGACCAACUCAAUGCCGGGCCUGAUGUCAUGUACCUCCUCUUGGAAUUUUUUGGAGAGGGGUCUCCGGGCCUGGCUGGCCCCACUUCAGACAUUGCUCUACUUUUUUGCUCCGCUGAGGAUGUCUCUCUGCUUCUUUGCUCCUCUGGGGAUGUUCCUCUGCCCCAUUGCCACAAGUGAUGCCACUACACUCUCCCUGCUCUGCCUCAGUCUUCAAUAUGCCAUGCAGAUCCACUGAGGAUACCUCUGCUGAGGACAUUUUGCCUCCUAUAUGUAAUCCUUGUUCCACUGAGGAUGUCACUCUGUCUCCUUGCUCCACUGAGGAUUUGGGGCGGUUGGGGGGUGCUGUCAUGAUAGUGUCAAAGGGAUGUUGAACUACAUUACUCCUCAGCCCCAGCACAUCACAUGACCAUGUCACAUGUCUCACUGAUCACUCACACCUGUUCUGUGUUACUCCUUAUAAGCACCCCUAUUUAAGUUCUGGUAUCUGGGUGUUCCUUUGUCAAUCUUUUGUCAUUUUGUAUUAGUUUUUAGUGGUGUGUACCCCAGUAUCACUCAUAGCUGUAUGUUCUUUGCUUUGUAUGCUCUAUACAUGCUUCUUGUCCUUAUUGUCAUGUCAUUGGUUUUGCUAGCACCUUCUUUUAAUAAACUUUAACUGCA